RNAcentral lists this ribosomal RNA (450 nucleotides) under uncultured bacterium. Its description in RNAcentral is "bacterial SSU rRNA". It matches the Rfam family "Bacterial small subunit ribosomal RNA", at positions 354 to 796 of the family's 1533-position model. The record is from RNAcentral.
GUGGGGAAUUUUGGACAAUGGGCGCAAGCCUGAUCCAGUAAUGCCGCGUGCAGGAAGAAGGCCUUCGGGUUGUAAACUGCUUUUGUACGGAACGAAACGGUCCUGGCUAAUAUCCGGGGCUAAUAACGGUACCGUAAGAAUAAGCACCGGCUAACUACGUGCCAGCAGCCGCGGUAAUACGUAGGGUGCGAGCGUUAAUCGGAAUUACUGGGCGUAAAGCGUGCGCAGGCGGUGCUGUAAGACAGGCGUGAAAUCCCCGGGCUCAACCUGGGAAUUGCGCUUGUGACUGCAGUGCUGGAGUGCGGCAGAGGGGGAUGGAAUUCCGCGUGUAGCAGUGAAAUGCGUAGAUAUGCGGAGGAACACCGAUGGCGAAGGCAAUCCCCUGGGCCUGCACUGACGCUCAUGCACGAAAGCGUGGGGAGCAAACAGGAUUAGAUACCCUGGUAGUCC